GAUGAACGCUAGCGGCAGGCCUAAUACAUGCAAGUCGAGGGAGAUUGUUGGAUUCGUCUGACAUGAAACCGGCGCACGGGUGCGUAACACGUAUGCAACCUACCUUUAACUGGGGUAUAGCUCAGAGAAAUCUGAAUUAAUCCCCCAUAAGACUACGACAUGGCAUCAUGAUGUAGUUAAAGCUCCGGCGGUUAAGGAUGGGCAUGCGGUACAUUAGCUAGUUGGUGAGGUAAUGGCUCACCAAGGCUACGAUGUAUAGGGGGUCUGAGAGGAUGAUCCCCCACACUGGUACUGAGAUACGGACCAGACUCCUACGGGAGGCAGCAGUAGGGAAUAUUGGUCAAUGGACGCAAGUCUGAACCAGCCAUGCCGCGUGAAGGAUGAAGGCCCUCUGGGUCGUAAACUUCUUUUAUUAGGGAAGAAAACAUGGGAUGCGUCCCAAACUGACGG
Molecule: ribosomal RNA, 450 nt
Filed under: uncultured Bacteroidota bacterium
Lineage: Bacteria; Pseudomonadati; Bacteroidota
Description: bacterial SSU rRNA
Rfam family: Bacterial small subunit ribosomal RNA
Source: RNAcentral